RNAcentral lists this non-coding RNA (24 nucleotides) under Arabidopsis thaliana (thale cress). Lineage: Eukaryota; Viridiplantae; Streptophyta; Magnoliopsida; Brassicales; Brassicaceae. The record is from RNAcentral.
AACUGUAGACGUAGUAGGCGCCUA